RNAcentral lists this long non-coding RNA (211 nucleotides) under Bos taurus (domestic cattle). RNAcentral's name for it is "long non-coding RNA NONBTAT001860". The record is from RNAcentral. Lineage: Eukaryota; Metazoa; Chordata; Mammalia; Artiodactyla; Bovidae.
CCCUGGCUGAGUUCCCUCAGGAGGCCACCUCUAGCCCAGUACUGAAAAUUUAAACCCCCACUAGCUUGACUGUUUUUCAAGAUGUACAAACCUACUUAGUGGAACAGAGAAUCACAGGCUCCGUACAAGGCUCAACAGAACCCCCAGGCCAGUGGCUUUUGAUUGCAACCCCUUCUAGCAGGGAAGGGAAGUGCACAGGAAGACUCCUACU